UGGCUGCGGGGCUGGGGGAGCUGGGGCUGCUGGAGCUGGCGGGCCUGGAGCAGGAGUAUCCCCGGGAGCCGCGGGAGCCCCCUGGGUCAGCGUGGCCACUUCGCUGUCGUAAGAGGGGUGGAGGCAGCGGCUCCGCGAAGAGGAAUUCGCCGUCGUCCACAUCCACGGAAGGGGCUGGCGGCGGCAGGACCAGCAGCGGAAGGCCGUUCUCCUCACUGCCCCGCGGAGAGCCCCUGUUGAGACACACAAGACCAAGGGAGGAAUUGGAGACUGGACCAGCUCCUCCUAGAUGCAAGCAGUGCACUGCGUAACAGCAAUCAUCAGCAGGGGCGCAAGGGAAAAGGCUCAAUUAAGUAGAAUUUCGCCCUUCGGCCACGAGGGGGCGCCGUUUACUAGUUGUUCAAAGGUUUGCGCACAUGAUAAUUUAAUGGCGAUUUGGAGUGAUUUAAAACAGGCUUAAGAAGAAAAGGCUAUCUAUCAUUUUUACACAGAGCCAUGCAAGAAGCAGCUGACUUCUCCCUCAACAAGCAUCUGCCUCUACUUACUACCUGCCUGCUACCAACCCUCCAUCCUUUGAACCCCGAAAGACCCCAGUUUUCUAGAUGCUACCUUUCCCAGGUCACACAGCUGAGAAGCAAACCCCGGAUUCAUCCAAACCCGACCUCAUUGAACCAGGGUCAAAUGUGAUGCUAGACACAUCGCCAAGCCGAGACAGUCCUAUGCUCCCGGACCACAUCCCACUCUGAGAGACAUACCAAUGGAUUUCUGCCGGAGCAUAAGGCCAGGCCUGCAGAAGCAGAAGCAGGAGGAUUACCAUGAAUUCCAGACUAGCCUGGUCUACGAGUGAGUUCCAGGCAGUCAGCUACAGCGUAAGACCCCUGUCUCAGAAAAAUAACAAACACCCAAGAAAAAUGGCUGCCCAGCUCUGGAAAGACAGAUGCCCUGUGGAGGAUGCUGUUUCCACAGGGCCCAGGAACCCAGAAACAGGGAAAGGCCUGGAGUGGUGGCUUGCCCCUGGAAUCACAGCGCUGAGUGGGAGGACACACGGCUCUCCGGGACCCGCUGACAAGCCAGGCUAGCCUCAUCAGUGACCUCCAGGUGCAGCAGGAGACCUCAGCAAACAAGAUGGGUGACACCAAAGUCUGUGCUCGCACACACAUGAGCACACGCACAAGAGAUGGGCUGUCGGGACAGUUUGGGACCCUGCGGCUCAGAAGGGAUGUGCUGGAGUGAGAUCAGAGGGUGACAGCACCAGGCCGCAGAGGAAGACUGCUGCUUUUGAGAGCCCUGCGGGACAGGAGCUGACCUCACUCGACCCUCCUGAGUGCAGCAAGCUUCAAAAUUCUACAGGAUGUCUGACAAAAGGGAUCCUGAUCCACACAUUGAGAACUGCUGGCCUAGAAUCUCCUCGGUGAGGGACCAGGGGCACGGUCCAGUGGUAAAGCCCUUUUCUAGGACCCCCCCAGUGACGGAGCUGAAGGGUACCUACCUCAGUGGCAAAGAACCCUUUGGGCCGGUGCUUUCCCAGGGACGCAAGGCCACCAGGCCCAGGACUCUCGCUUGCACUGAUGGUCUGCUGAGCAGCGGCCAAGAUCUCAU
This is a long non-coding RNA of Alexandromys fortis (reed vole), 1599 nucleotides long. RefSeq lists it as uncharacterized. The transcript is spliced from 7 exons. Lineage: Eukaryota; Metazoa; Chordata; Mammalia; Rodentia; Cricetidae. The record is from RefSeq and is a predicted model, not a curated record.